UCCAAUAUCUCUUUGGUCUUCUCCCGAUUCAUCUACCUCUGCAAAAACAAUUUUUCUCAAUUUUUUUCAGCUUUCCUCCUUCUCUCCUUACUCACUAUAUAAGACGGUGGUUGAUUUACGAAAGAUUCCUCUCACUAAAACCACCAGAUCUCUUCAUGGCCUCCGGGGAAAACGAGUAGUUAGUAACGGCGUUCGGUUUUGGUUCCAUCACUUUACCUCUGUAUACAGUUUACUGUAAAAAUAAAUUAUUCCUUCAUAUUUGGUGAGUCACUGAACGCCUUGCUCCUGGUACAUAAAAAACAUUACUUAACUUUUGUACACUUUUCUUUGAAAAGUGUUCUUCGGAGUUGUCUGUGAUUUCUUUUUUUUUUGAUAUUUUUAUCAUAUUGUGAGAGAGAUGGAGGACUUCGAGUUCCAUCACUGGUGGAGCCUACGGUUAAAGUUGUUGGAGAUUUAAAAGGAGGAGAUGACGCUUUACAGGAGAGGAUUUGUCAUCUGUUUUUUCAGGGACCAACGGAAAAUGGGCAAAUUGAUGUUCACUUUCAGGAUCUGUAUAGCGCAAGAACAACGUUCGAGCAGGCCCGACUUCAUUUGGUCAUCACUUUUUCUUAUGCUAUGAGAAUUUCCAAGAUAUUUCCUUUGCUUCAAGCUGCGAGUCAACACCAUCACAUGUAGAAACUAAAUGAGGAUCAUGGUGUGUAUUGCCUCUCUCUCUCUCUCAAAUACUUGAAACAGAAAUCUUUAGCUCAUUCAAGUCGAAGGCUUUAUCUAGAGUUCCCUAAAUGAGCUUUUGCUACAAUAUAUGUACAUGUUUUGUUUUCUUACAGGUUAUAUCGUUUUUGUUAACGGCUUAUGCUCAAACAUCCAUGCGGCAGAUUUUCCUCUUCCAUGUUAUUCUCAUAAGAAAGAUGAAAUCUUCGAUUUCUAUUCGUCUGAAAGCCCAAAACAAACGUUGAUCUCGAAGUUUAUGUGCAGCAGAUGAGAAUCAGCAGGGACUAUCCAUAAAGAUAUAAGGAGAUGGGCAUUCAACUUCUUCCACGCUGAUCAACAAGAAACCAGGUUUCUAUGGAAGCAUAAACCCACGGAAACUGAUCACUUUAAGCUGAUAUGGAUGAAUGCAGACCUCUGUGUAAGAGGACAUAGCGUUUGAUGCGUUGUGUUAUCAGAUCUGGUUGAAGAUUUAGAGGAUGGGGAUCGUACUUCUCAGCCAAAGGACAAAGUUGUGACAUGGAACCUGCCAUUUCGAAGUGAUACCUCAUAUUUGGUCCAGUCUACAACAUAAGAGAAGUACGGAGUUAGGUACUCGAGGCUGAGAUACUUACAUGAUGCAAAAGAGGUUAUCAUAAGCCAUGGGGCGGAUCUCAUCUCAGGUAUUAUUCCCUGAUCUCCACUCAACGAAACCUGACGCGUAACAGAAGGAAUCAGAGGACAACAAGGCCAGUGGUGGAUCUGAUGAGAGAUUUUUCGUAUAGCCAUAUACAGAGCGGGUGGGAUAUGAACCAGUAGCUGUAAUGUUUUGCAUUAUCCUUGCAUUAUCAGUAAAUGACAAUUAGAAGUUACAGCUACUUGCCUUUUUCUUCUACGGUUAAGUUUAUCGUUGUUUUAACGUAAAAGAUAAAUCGGAAGAGUAGACGUGUUGAUAAUUUUGUAGUAGAGUCUUAGGUGUAUCUCUUUAGUUUGAGGGUUAGUUUCAGUAGAAUCUAUGUGCCAUCUUUUGGUUGUAUCUGGUGAAGCUGAAGUUCUUGGUGGGAAUAUGAAAAAGCAGAUAAUGGAUGAGUCUGA
Molecule: long non-coding RNA, 1782 nt
Organism: Brassica rapa (field mustard)
Lineage: Eukaryota; Viridiplantae; Streptophyta; Magnoliopsida; Brassicales; Brassicaceae
Source: RefSeq, a predicted model, not a curated record